UGUUCCUCUCCACAGUUUAUUCGCACCCCGGUUUCGAAAGCCACACACACCUAAUUCCAAUAGCUCCGGCGUGCGAAAAUUUUUCACUGUAGAGCACCCCGGUGACAACACAGGACCGACUGGUUUAAGCCACGAAAAAGCAAAGACAAAAACAAACACGAUGGUGUGCAUAAUAAUAGCAUCAACAAACGAUGAAUGUUUCGGGCGAGUGGAUCAGCUUCGUAUGUAUUGGUAAACGCAACAAGCCAAGCCAGCUGCCGUCGCUGUCGCUCUCCGUGGUGAAACCUUUUUUUCACUAUAGUGUGUGUUCGCUCUGUCGUGUUGAUUAACAGAUUCUCUACAGAGGUUUGGCUAAAAAUCUCUGCGGUGCGUUUCAGUGAAUCUCUACCGAGAAUCGAAAACCGAGCACGUCGGUGAUUCUCUUUAGAGAAAUGGCAAGCCUGUUAGCGCCUCCUGUUGAUACUUUGCUGCAGUGAUGAGUGCUACUGUUAGAAAGGGAUUGCUACCACAUUUGAGCUACGCACCGUUUAUAAUAAAUAAUGAACUUUUGGAAGAAAAUAAUAUUCUUUAAAAACGGCUUAAGCAAACUAUAAAUGGUAAAACAUGACUGAAUACGCCGGGUGGCUGUGAUACUUACUGAUGUUUGGCCUACAACAAGUAGUUCAAACUGGUUCCUAACAAUCACCAAUUCCGGUGCCGUAAAUUAAUUGUUCCAACUGGCACUUAAAUCCUUGUGCACCGGUUUCAUGCUAGAAAACCAAGUCAAAUUUAAACCAGCAAACCACUUCCGGAACCUAUGACGAAGGUAUUUUCACUGACCACACUGACUUGACUCUUAGAACAAAAAUUCAACCAUUUUCUGUCUAAUUUUUUGUUGUCCGUUUUUGCAGGUUCGCAAUACCGACGGCAGGUGGCGAAUCUGAAAAAUUUGACAAAAAAUGCCCUGUAGGAAAAAUGGUCCUGUUUAGCCCGAUUUUAUCGUAGAAAUUGCGUGUUUUAUUUUUAAAGUUGGGUGGCAUUUCCUAACUGGGAUAGCAUUUCUUCAAAUCGAUCGAUGCGCACUCUGGAAUCGACAUUGCGUACUGUUGGAAAAAUAUUUUUUUUUUGUUUUUUUUUCUGGAAAAAUUAUCCAGAAAACGAAAUCGAGUGUCCAGUCAGCACUGACCACACUGACUUGACUCUUAGAACAAAAAUUCAACCAUUUUCUGUCUAAUUUUUUGUUGUCCGUUUUUGCAGGUUCGCAAUACCGACGGCAGGUGGCGAACCUGAAAAAUUUGACAAAAAAUGCCCUGUAGGAAAAAUGGUCCUGUUUAGCCCGAUUUUAUCGUAGAAAUUGCGUGUUUUAUUUUUAAAGUUGGGUGGCAUUUCCUAACUGGGAUAGCAUUUCUUCAAAUCGAUCGAUGCGCACUCUGGAAUCGACAUUGCGUACUGUUGGAAAAAUAAUUAUUUUUUGUUUUUUUUUUCUGGAAAAAUUAUCCAGAAAACGAAAUCGAGUGUCCAGUCAGUAUGGUCAGUGGUAUUUUGUACCCGAAGUAAGGUAUGAAAAAACUGGAAUAAAAGAAAAAUACAACAUGAGAACUGUUUCAAGAAUUCAUCAAUUAAUUCAAUCUUACCGUAAUUGCUGAACAGGACUUCCGGAAGGAGUUUCUUUCCGAGGUUCUGCUUAAUGCUUUCCAUAGCUGCUGCUAGCAAUAGGUUAUGGUUGACAUAAGUACCGAAUUGAUUAUUUUACGCCUUUCACCCAAGACUUCGACUACACUUUUUGUUAUUUUAUAAAAGGAGUCCACUGCAUUACACAAAACUAUUUUGAUAAACGAAAAAUUUUAACCCCGCGCAUUAAACGAAAAAAUAUACAACAAAUAAGGUAACCUAAAAACUGACUGAGCUCAAAACAUAUGGUGAAAAAGAGACAAAACAUCUUGUUGUUAUUUUAUGCAUGAUAGCAAGAGACAACAAAUUUUACAAGACGCGUGCCUUACGUGAUUCAGGAGACCAUUGUUCCGACUUCACUCGAUUCUUUUGAAUUCGUGUGCUCUCGUAGCAAUUUUGUCUCGGAUUUCAGGAGAGAUGAAGUGUUCCGAGAUUCGGAUGAGUUCCCAUUCGAAAUUCGUCUAAAUUGAGCAAUUUCCCUGUGGUUCGGAAAGUCAUUAUCCCGAGCGGAAUAAUUGCAAUCUUAGUGUGUAGAUAUUCCAUGAAAGAUACUUAUCAAAUCUUUUUUUUCAUGUGGCGGACGAUCAACACGCAGGCAAAUUCUUAUUAUGAUUCUCAUAAGAUGCAUCUUAUGAACCGCUUUUUAGAGUGUAAAAUUGAUUUUCAUAAGAGUCUUAUGAAAUUCUUCCAAUUUUCGAAGUAAGUUCUUAUGAAAAAUAGAAGAAGCGGCAUUGUGAAAAAAUAAUGAACGCAUUCAUACAUCAGUCAUUAUUUUUCAUCGUCACACGAGGCGUGAAACCAUUAUAAUUUUCCUCAGACACGAAUGCCACAAGGAUGGUAAAGUGUCGUAAAUAAAAAAAAAAAAAAAUAUAUAAUUUUCCUAAAAGAUAAGUGAUUAUCUCAUUCUAAAUGCAUAUUGACCGGGUAAAAGUAAAAACUCAAAGAAUCCGAUGCGGCAGAAUAAAUGUGUUGGAACCGGAUGUUUGUGUGCUGCUGUUAGUGCUAAUGGUGUAACAAACUAGAUAGAAACAAGCUAGAAAAUAAAUAAAAUGUUUUUAAUAUCAA
This is a long non-coding RNA of Uranotaenia lowii, 2715 nucleotides long. RefSeq lists it as uncharacterized. Lineage: Eukaryota; Metazoa; Arthropoda; Insecta; Diptera; Culicidae. The transcript is spliced from 2 exons. The record is from RefSeq and is a predicted model, not a curated record.